CACUAAUCUAGUUCUAUUUUUCUCUCUAAGAUGAGAGGCAAUGGUGGCACAGUGGGGGAUCGAGAUCCCGUAGGAUUUAACUCAAAGAGAGAUAAACUAACUCAAAGAUAAAUAAAAGAGAGAUAAAGUAGUAGAGAAGAUGAAAGAGAUUAAAAAAGAGAGAUGGCUAAAAUGAGAGAGUGAAAAGAACAAAGAGGCAGUGGAGGAGGAAAAGAAUACAAGAGAAAAGUGCUUGGGCACCCUUUUUAUUUUUUUCUUAACAAACAGAGAAAGAGGAAGUAUGUGAGAUAAAAAAGAAAUAGAUGAACAAAAUCAAGUGAAAUAGUGAGAGAGAGAGAGAAGUAUGAAAAAAAUGAUAGAGAGAUAAAGCAGUGGGGGCGCUUGUAUAAGAAAUAGGAUACUACUAUUGAGUUUUUAUUAUUAACAGAGCAUGACCCCUCUUUUACUAUGCUUAUUCACCUAAAU
This 465-nucleotide long non-coding RNA is filed under the name Elaeis guineensis (African oil palm). RNAcentral's name for it is "long non-coding RNA (EGUI_LNC003120)". Lineage: Eukaryota; Viridiplantae; Streptophyta; Magnoliopsida; Arecales; Arecaceae. The record is from RNAcentral.